RNAcentral lists this long non-coding RNA (209 nucleotides) under Prunus persica (peach). RNAcentral describes it as "long non-coding RNA (PPER_LNC001910)". Lineage: Eukaryota; Viridiplantae; Streptophyta; Magnoliopsida; Rosales; Rosaceae. The record is from RNAcentral.
GAAACAGUUAGUUAUGUUAAAGCUUAAAAAUAAUUGGGAUUAGUCAUGUUAAAGCUCAAAGAUUAAAUUUUAAAGCUUAUGUUGCCUAAAGUUACUUGUAAUCUUAUCUUUGUGGCUAAAUAUAACUAGGAUUUUAACGUUUCCUUCAAUGGCUCUCUUAGGAAAAAGGUCCAGGGUUUGAGUCCUAGCAUCAGUAUAGUGUGUGUGAG